UACGUAGGCAGCGAGCGUUGUUCGGAGUUACUGGGCGUAAAGAGUGCGUAGGCGGCCUUCUAAGUCGAACGUGAAAUCCCCGGGCUCAACCCGGGAACUGCGUCCGAUACUGGAAGGCUUGAAUCCGGGAGAGGGAUGCGGAAUUCCAGGUGUAGCGGUGAAAUGCGUAGAUAUCUGGAGGAACACCGGUGGCGAAGGCGGCAUCCUGGACCGGCAUUGACGCUGAGGCGCGAAAGCCAGGGGAGCAAACGGG
RNAcentral lists this ribosomal RNA (253 nucleotides) under uncultured bacterium. RNAcentral describes it as "partial 16S ribosomal RNA". It matches the Rfam family "Bacterial small subunit ribosomal RNA", at positions 524 to 776 of the family's 1533-position model. The record is from RNAcentral.